Molecule: long non-coding RNA, 944 nt
Organism: Canis lupus familiaris (dog)
Lineage: Eukaryota; Metazoa; Chordata; Mammalia; Carnivora; Canidae
Exons: 2
Source: RefSeq, a predicted model, not a curated record
AUGGCGAGUCAGGCCCCACUGCGCCUGCGCCCUGAACCCGCCGGGGCUCCUUCCCGGGGCGCCUAGGACCCCGGCGCCCUCCCGCCGGGCUGUCUUCGAUAUUGCCGGUCUUCUUCCAGUUGCUUCUGCCUCGUUUUUCACCUGGAGGCAAGCAGAUUGUCACAAUGAAACGCUAAAGAUCCAUCUGUGUUGUAUGAAUGACGUGCAGGCUCAGAAAGGAGACGAAAUCGGAUAGAAUGUGCUACGACUCGACAGGCAGGAGAAGGGCCAGACUGCAAAGGCCCUCACGCGGCUAACCCGCUAAGGGCGGAGGACGCCACGCUAGUGGGCGGGGCACAAGGGACGGCACGUCGGGGGCGGGGCCUGGGGGCGGAGCGUCCUCUCCGGGAGGCGGGCGGGUGGGCGUGGCCUGGGGCAUCCCUGGGGAGAGCCUGCGCGCACCUGAGCUCCGGGAGCCGCAGGGUCCGGCGCUCUGCAGCGUGGGCCUCAUCCUCCGCGCUUACAUGCAGCCUCCCUGUGUCCUUGUGCCGUGCUCCGCCCUCUGGCCGCAUUAGCAGAUUUCCUCGGACCGCCCUGAACGUAAGAGGCUCGGUGCCCCUCCCCCCGCCCAGGCCCCUGCAAAUGUUACCUCGCUUGGAAACAGUCUUUGCAGAUUAAAGAUCUGCGCAUGGAUUAUCCUGGAUUAACAGAACGGGCCCUCCGUGCAGCCACGUGCAUCCUCUGAAGACGGAGGCAGAUGGACAUUUGAUAGAAACAGAAGAGGAACAGUGUACCCCAGAGGGCAGAGAGGAUGAUGAUGAUGUCGCUACAAGUCGAGGAAUGCCAGCAGCCCCGCGACACGGAAGAGGCAAUAAAGGAUUCUCCGCUGACCUCUGGAGCGGACCGGUGGGAUUUUGGACUUCCGACCUCCCCAACCGCGACAGAAUAAACUUGUUUUAACCCGC